GAGGGUAUAGCUCAAGUGGUAGAGCACAUGCUUAGCAUGCAUGAGGUCCUGGGUUCAAUGCCCAGUACCUCCU
This is a transfer RNA of Camelus ferus (Wild Bactrian camel), 73 nucleotides long. It matches the Rfam family "tRNA". Rfam says of the family: Transfer RNA (tRNA) molecules are approximately 80 nucleotides in length. Their secondary structure includes four short double-helical elements and three loops (D, anti-codon, and T loops). Further hydrogen bonds mediate the characteristic L-shaped molecular structure. tRNAs have two regions of fundamental functional importance: the anti-codon, which is responsible for specific mRNA codon recognition, and the 3' end, to which the tRNAs corresponding amino acid is attached (by aminoacyl-tRNA synthetases). tRNAs cope with the degeneracy of the genetic code in two manners: having more than one tRNA (with a specific anti-codon) for a particular amino acid; and 'wobble' base-pairing, i.e. permitting non-standard base-pairing at the 3rd anti-codon position. NCBI's taxonomy places the organism in Eukaryota, Metazoa, Chordata, Mammalia, Artiodactyla, Camelidae. The record is from Rfam.